Molecule: non-coding RNA, 96 nt
Filed under: Viridibacillus arenosi
Lineage: Bacteria; Bacillati; Bacillota; Bacilli; Caryophanales; Caryophanaceae
Also listed under: 1 other name
Description: SAM-I sequence
Rfam family: SAM riboswitch aptamer (S box leader)
About the family: The SAM riboswitch is found upstream of a number of genes which code for proteins involved in methionine or cysteine biosynthesis in Gram-positive bacteria. The SAM riboswitch acts at the level of transcription termination control.
Source: RNAcentral
UUCUUAUCCAGAGAGGUGGAGGGACUGGCCCUAUGAAAUCUCAGCAACGGACGAUGUACCGUGCUAAUUCCAGAAGCGUAUGCUUGAAGAUAAGAA